Molecule: ribosomal RNA, 476 nt
Filed under: uncultured bacterium
Lineage: Bacteria
Description: partial 16S ribosomal RNA
Rfam family: Bacterial small subunit ribosomal RNA
Source: RNAcentral
AUUCACGCUGGCGGCGUGCAUCACACAUGCCAGUCGCACGAUGAAACUUAAAUGAUUUCUUCGGAAUGAACUUAAGUGGAUUAGUGGCGGACGGGUGAGUAACGCGUGAGUAACCUGCCUUACACAAGGGGAUAGCCGUUGGAAACGACGAAUAAUACCCUAUGAAACUAUCACUUCGCAUGAAGCGAUAGUCAAAGUGUUAGCGGUGUAAGAUGGACUUGCGUCUGAUUAGCUAGUUGGUGAGAAAAAAGCCCACCAAGGCAACGAUCAGUAGCCGGCUUGAGAGAGUGUACGGCCACAUUGGGACUGAGACACGGCCCAGACUCCUACGGGAGGCAGCAGUGGGGAAUUUUGCACAAUGGGGGAAACCCUGAUGCAGCGACGCCGCGUGAUUUAGAAGGCCUUCGGGUUGUAAAAAUCUUUUGUAUAGGAAGAAAAUGACAGUACUAUACGAAUAAGGUCCGGCUAAUUACGUG